GGACAUACAGCUCAGUGGCAGAGUGCAUGCUUAGCAUGCAUGAGGGCCUGGGUUCAAUCCCCAGUACUUCCA
RNAcentral lists this transfer RNA (72 nucleotides) under Camelus bactrianus (Bactrian camel). It matches the Rfam family "tRNA". Rfam says of the family: Transfer RNA (tRNA) molecules are approximately 80 nucleotides in length. Their secondary structure includes four short double-helical elements and three loops (D, anti-codon, and T loops). Lineage: Eukaryota; Metazoa; Chordata; Mammalia; Artiodactyla; Camelidae. RNAcentral also lists the same sequence under 2 other names. The record is from Rfam by way of RNAcentral.